This 119-nucleotide ribosomal RNA is filed under the name Propithecus coquereli (Coquerel's sifaka). The record is from RNAcentral. Lineage: Eukaryota; Metazoa; Chordata; Mammalia; Primates; Indriidae.
GUCUACGGCCAUACCACCCUGAACGCACCCAAUCUUGUCUGAUCUUGGAAGCUAAGCGGGGUCAGGCCUGGUUAGUACUUGGAUGGGACAUUCUGAAGUAGAGACAUACAAUGUAAGCC